GAGCAAAUCAUGCAGACCCUUCAUGCACUUCUGGACUGCUGAAGCUGCAUUCCGAUUAUCCAUCGUAGUAUACCUUUCUGAUUUAAUUGGAAAGUUGAACGAGAGCUGCUGGAAACUUCCUGGCUGUAGAAAGGCCACCGAGAGCAUUGCUUGUGCUCAUCAUCUUACACUUUGCAGGUGUUUGAAGAUCCCAUGGCAAAUCAUGGCAGCUGAGAGCAACUCGGCGUGGUGAUGGUGGGCAGGAAAGGAGGAAGAGGCUUUGAGUCACCGCAUCCUCGCAUUACUCAGCCUGCUCUGGGCACUGUUGUCGUCUCUGAGACCUUCUUGGAAACUCCCUUGUUCUCAGUGUGUGAACACUCAGAGACACAGCUGGAUGCCGGAUGGGCCACUCCUCCAGCCAUGUCCAGAAGCACAGCAAUCACACAGUGCAGGAGAUUCUG
RNAcentral lists this long non-coding RNA (440 nucleotides) under Gallus gallus (chicken). RNAcentral's name for it is "lncRNA (ENSGALG00010011176.1)". Lineage: Eukaryota; Metazoa; Chordata; Aves; Galliformes; Phasianidae. The record is from RNAcentral.